Balaenoptera acutorostrata (minke whale) is the source of this 7156-nucleotide long non-coding RNA. RefSeq lists it as uncharacterized. The transcript has 4 exons. Lineage: Eukaryota; Metazoa; Chordata; Mammalia; Artiodactyla; Balaenopteridae. The record is from RefSeq and is a predicted model, not a curated record.
AAUUUAUAUAUUAAAAAAAAAAUCUUAAGGCUGUUUGAAUGUUGCAGAUACAAAUCUGCAGAAAUCCAGGUAAGUUAGGCAAAAAAUAUAGAAACCACAACAAAGGUUUGGAUCACUUGUUUAAUAUACAAAGUCUUUCUUUCACAGGUAAUUAUUUUCUUUUCCUUAAUUUGUCUUAGUACACAUUAUUCACAAAACAGUAAAUUGUUAAUGCAAGAGAAUUAGGUAGAACCAAAAAAGUACAAAUGCUCAAUCCCCAAAAUUGCACACAGUUAAAAUAAUUUUUCCUUGUUUGUUUUAAUGCAGUUUCAAAUGGGCUUUCUUCAGAUGUGGAGGAAACACUGCAGCCCAAAAUAACAGUACUUCCUUUCAACUGUAUUGGUAGGUAAAAUAGCACCUUUGGGCUGACUUAAGGAAAGAAAACUAAUUUUCAUCUUUCUUAAUUAAGGUGUGAGUCCUACACAAUUACCGUAUGACAACUACAAUAAUGAUAAGUUUUAAGAGCUCUACUUUGUUCCAAAAUAUUCAUUGGCAUGGCAAGGAAAGGUAAAUUGUGUCAGGCAGAUGCAAAAAUCUUCCUCCCCACCUCACCUCCAUGACAAUUAGAGUAUCUUAGUGAUGUCAUUGCUCUAAUGAGCUAGUUUUCCAGCCAAAAUAAAUAGAUGUUUUAGGGACCUUCUGCAAAACAAGAUAAGUGUGACCAUGUGGCCAUCUCUCUGGAACUAUAAUCACAUGUAACAGCAGCUCGGAGUGAGAAUAAAUAGAUGUUUUAGGGACCUUUUGCAAAACAAGAUAAAUGUAACUAUGUGGCCAUCUCUGGGACUGUAAUCACAUGUAACAAGCUCGGAGUGAGAUUUAAUCCUAGGGCAUUUUGAAAGACUCCUUCAGAGUAUAUACCUGUCUUCCUUUUAUUUCUCCAUUGCUUUAUGUCCCAAGUCGAUGGGAACAUUUUUGUUUUGUUUUUUUACAUUUUGUUUGUACUUAAGUUUAAUUGCCCUUUGGGCUUCAGUUUAAAAAAAAUACUGGAUUUCAUAUCUUUACAAUUUAAUCUUUGAUCUUACACAAUUAGAGUGACAAUUCUUUAAAAAAUCAACAGCAUAAAUGUACGUUUUCUGGUAUUGAUAAUACCACAGAUUCAUGAUGAUAAAAAGCCAAGGUUUUAGCAGAACUAUAAGUUUAUUCUUCAAUUUCAGUUCUUUGUUUCAAUUGCAUUUUAUUUCUUACAUAAGCAGGUGAGCAUGCUUCAAAAAAUUGCCAUUCCGGAGAGCAGUUUUUCUUUUUGAAGGGUAUAUCCAGUCCACAAAAGUGUUGUCACAAAGCCAAACCCGGUCAUCGAAAGGACAAAUGUACCGUUGCCACACAGAACAUAAAGAAAAGAAUCAACAUUAGGUUUUAAAUGCACAUAGUUAUUUCAGAUGGUUUGAACUAUCAGCAGCCAUUACGGGAAAACUUCUAAAGAUUUAAAUUUGGGAGUUCAGUGUUUAAAAAAGAAUAGCAGAAUAAUGUUGACUUUUAAUGUGUUGGGGAGCUAUAUUAUUUUCUCAUUUCAAGAAAGUCAAAGCCUAUUCAAGUUCAUUUUGAGAAUUUACGUAUGGUUUUACAACACCGUGUCAUUUUUUAUCAUUAAUACAGUAAUGCUUAUAUUUACUUUUCAUACUAGAAUUUCUUAGUGUUCAGUAUGCCCCUUAAUAAAUUAUUAUUUAUUAAGCCAAUCGUCUUCCACUGUGAAAUUAUGCACUUACCUAUAUUGCUAAAGUUCGGACAGAGUUUAAAUGGUAUUUUAUGGUAUAAUUCAGGUAAAUAAUCCUUUUCCUUACAGAGCAAACAAAAGAGAAAUCAACAUUUCUUUGUUUGCUGGUGGCUAGAUUUUGUUCCCUCAGGAAUAUUUGUAAACAGUUGUUGCCAUUGCUAAACCUCAGGAGAAAUGGAUUAGUGAAAUGCUUAGGAAAAUUAUCAGAAAAAAACGAGUCACGUUUAAUCCCUCGGGUGAGGUGCCGUGAUUAAAUCACCUAAAGCUUCAUCACCCGUGAGCGUAUUCAUCGUAAACCUUGAAAAUGGAAAUUUAAGGAGCUAAUGCAAAGUCCAGGUUGUUUAAGCUUCCUAUGUUUUUAAUUACACCACUAUGUCUUUAUUUGUGCAGAAAUUUUGGUCCAGUUUAGUUGCCUCAACUUAGUUUUUCCUGUGCCUUCAUUCCGCGCUCCUACAGCAAGUUUUAAGAAAGAUGGGUUUUAAACCUUUUGUUUCCUGCCUGACUGAAUACCUUGCCGUUUUUCUCACAUAUAUACAGGAACAAACACAUGCCACACACACACGAAGUUGAUACUGUUGACCUUUGCUUUAUUUCUAGGAACUGGGACUAUCUGGACUCAGUGUCAGCCACUACUCACAUCGUGUCAACCUUCUCCUCAGUAAAAGGUGAUUUAUUUCUCUUUUCUUUCCCUACGGUAACCUGUGAGGAAAAAGCCCACUGACCAUUACAAAGUGCAUCAGUGUGAUACCCAGAUUUGUGCAAUGCGAUACCCAUGCUUUGGUUCUGUGGCCAUCACGGUUGCCUUUUCACAAUAAUAAAUACGACAGCUAGCAAAAAUAAAUCACCUCGUUUUAUGUAAGACACCUCUCUUUGACAGGCCACUAUAUUUAUAGUCAUUAAUCUAGCUCACUGCUAUGUCAUUCACACUUCAGUUUUACAUGAAUAUGCAAAGAAUACAAUAAUCAACUGAACUGUCAAACCUAAACAAUUCAAUUUAUUACUUAUCACAGAAUCUGUUGAAUAUUUUUGCGUCCCAGCUGAGCAAGGGAAAUACUGUCAGCUUUUUAAAAUACAGUCUAAAUGCUUGGUCAUAACUACUCAUCAUCUGUCAAGUUGACACCUCAUAAAAAAAAAGCCAUCAAGAACCUACUGUGAUCAUCAGAUACUACAUCAGAUACUUACUUCGACAUGUAUUCCUUACAGGACAAGAGGAAAUGGCCUCACGCUGCAGCAGGGGCUGGAACCCACAUCCAAAGAACUCGCAAGCAGGAACAGUGAGUGUGGGCCACAUGCAGUGAACCCGUGACGUCUCCCGCUGAAAUGUAACUAUGGGAUUGACAGCUCUGAUUGCAGGACAUUUGGAGCACAUGUUGAUCUGGAGUUGGGGGAAGUAGUCAUUGACAUGCAGGGCAGGAAAGAUAACACUGCAAGCAAGUGGCGGUCUUACUGAAAAGUGGUUUACAAAUUUUCCCAAUAAGAAGAGGAAUACCUGGGAACAUGGAAUCAAUGGCUUCAUUUGCUACCACCCUUGGCAUCCAGAACUACUGAGUAAUGGGUAUUACCUGGACAAGGAGGGAAUAAUAAUACAGAUUCUUCCGCUCUGGGAGUCCUUAUAAGUAGAAGUAGUUUUCAGCCUUGGCUGUCUAACAGAAGCCUCUGGGCAGGUAAGGUCCCAGCACACAUACCACCUCACUGACUCCAUCACCGAGAGCACACUUGGUCCGUGAUCCAAGCACGUCUGCUAAAAAUGAGGGCCCUGCCACUACGUGCUGUGUGCCCUGGGCUGGGUUACUUUAAUCCUCUGUCCUUCCAUUUCCUUACCUGUAAAAAGGUGAUAAGAAUAGUAUCUACAGCAGCCACUAUGGAGAAAAGUAUGAAGUUUCCUCAAAAAACUAAAAAUAGGGUUGCCAUAUGAUCCAGCAAUCCCACUCCUGGGAAUAUAGCUGGAGAAAAUGCUAAUUCGAAAAGACACAUGCACCCCAAUGUUCACUGCAGCACUAUUUAUAAUAGCCAAGCCAUGGAAGCAACCUAAGUGUCCACUGACAGAUGAAUGGAUAAAGAAGAUGUGGUACAGAUAUACAAUGGAAUUAGCCAUAAAAAAGAAUGAAAUAAUGCCAUUUGCAGCAACAUGGAUGGACCUAGAGAUGAUCAUACUAAGUGAAGUAAGCCAGAAAGAAAAAGACAAAUAUCAUAUGAUAUAUGAUUAUAUGUGGAAUUUAAAAAGUGAUACAAAUGAACUUAUUUAUAAGACAGAAACUGAUUCACCGUCAUAGAAAACAGAAUUAUGGUUACCAUAUUUUAUCUAUGAAAUCGAUAAACAACAAGGUCCUACUGUACAGCACAGGGAACAAUAUUCAAUAUCCUGUAAUAAACCAUCAUGAAAAGAAUGUGAAAAAGGAUACGUAUGUAUAUGUAUAACUGAAUCACUUUGCUGUACACCAGAAACCAGCACAACAUUGUAAAUCAACUCUACUAUACUCCAAUUAAAAAAAGAACAGUACGUACAUUACAGGGUCAAGUUUAAGUGAGUUAAUGCACAUAGUGAGAAGGGCAUUAGGCACUUGGAAAGAAUUCAGCGAACAGUUAUCAUAACUUGGACCUUGCAGCACCACAGCACCUCAGCCAGUUAAGACUCUGGUUGCUUUUACCUUCAUGUUGAUACCAUCACUGGAGGAUGAGGAAGGGAUGAGUUGGGAUUUGGUCAUUUUGCAGAAUUAAGGCAGUCGAAGCGCCCCACCCCCAUCUGUUUUCCAAGUACAAAUAGAUUUUUCUGAAUAUUGACUCUCAUAGCAGAGAAAUACAGUUUGUUUGUGUUAACUGUUUAUACAAAGAAGGGCAAGUGGAUGAAUUACUGUGCAUAUCCUAGGUGGACUCUCUUGUUGAAAGACUGCACAACAAUACACUCUUUACUGUUAGGACUGGAGAAUAUAUCACAGGUUGCAGUGUAUGUCCCAGUAACUUCUCAUUCUUUUUGUCUGGAAAUUCAAAUCAAAAUGUUAUGUUAAAGCCACCUAAAGAAAUACUGUUUUCGGUGACAGUUUUCACAGAAGGUUAAAGGGACUCAAAUAUUCCACAUAAACCACAGCACUGACGCGAGCAUGCGGUUAUAACUGUGUCUUCCCCGAGUAACGUAAUCCACGAGAGGCAGCCUGGUGGGAAACGUGCCCCAGGGCUGCUGUUCUGCCUUCGGGGUCGCAAAACCCAAGCAGCUACCUGAGAAUGGAUAAGUGAAGAAAUGGCUCUUUUUCCUCAAAGGUUAUGCUGAAAAUAUCAUGUGGAACAUUCUGGAAGCACUGUGAGUGUGUCACUGCUUCAGGCAUGUUGAACCAGUGGAGAAAUCUAGGGUGCUGAGUCCAGGGGAUACUUAAUUAUAGGCUGAGACUUCAAAAAGAAAACAGGAAGACAGUUGGGCUACAUCUCAUAAGGUGGUACGUCACCUCUUCCCCACAGAGUCAAGCCCUCGCCUCGGACUCUGGGACUCGCCCUGCCGUCCACAGUGUUCUCCCCAGAAGCCUGUUUCUCUUUAGUGAGUAUCCACAGUGCACAUGGGGUGUUCACAGGCCAGGUACCAACUUGUGCCUCAAUGAUCAUAGCCUUGCGCUUGAGGAGAAAUUGCCUGUGUGCUAAGUAGAACCAGAGACUGGGAAAUUAGAAGACUUUAAAAAGACUCAGUUUUGAAUUUGGAAUUAACAGACACACAACUAUAUAUAAAAUAAACAAGGACCUAUUGUAUAACAUAGGGACUGUAUUCAAUACCUUGUAAUAACCUAUAAUGGAAAAGAAUCUGUAAAAAGAACAUAUAUAUAUAUAUAUAUAUAUAUAUAUAUAUAUAUAUACCUGAAUCACUUUGCUGUAUACCUGAAACAUUGUAAAUCAACUCUACUUCAAUAAAAAAAUAUAUAUGUUUAAAAAAAGACACAUUUUACCUCCUCAUUUUCUAGAUGAAGAAACUGAGGCCAAGAGAACUGAAUUGAUUUACCCAGGGUAAUACAGUAAGUUGUUAGUAGAUUUUUUUUCCCUAGCUUUAUUGGGUAAUAGAUUUUUAUCAUUCAGAAGCUAAUUGCUGAAGCAUCACAAAGUAUCGGAUAUUUAUUCUAGGUGUCAGGGAGCAAGGUAGUCAAGACUUCUUCUUUUAUGAAGUUUACAUUGGUGUCAUAAUUGUGGAUUUUUCUGUAUUUGUUGGAACAGCGGACUGUAUAAUCGUCCAUCAAUCAGAUAUAAUGGGCUUUCGUUUCAUAAGCGCUUGUAUCCCUUUCCCAGCUGUCUUUUAUUGUGUGUGUGUGUGUGUGUGUGUGUGUGUGUGUGUGUGUGUGUGUGUGUUUUCUGUACUUAUCUUUCUAAAAUAUUCCUUUGGGUGGCAACAAAGAAAAAGAGAAGUUUCUCCCCGGAAUCGCUGCGGUGCAGUAGUGCCAGCCUGAUUCUAACGACAGCCCACGGUCAAUGCUUAUUUUCAUGUCUGAACGUUGUAUAUAAUGUAAUUGGGUUGAGUUUUUUUGUUGUCUUUGUUUUUGUUGCUGUUGUUUUUUACUCUCAGAGUAUUUUAGUCAGAUAAAAAUUUGAAAUAAAUCAGAUAAAUAAAUAUAUGGUCUCCUCAGCUUGAAUGGCAGCUAAUGAAGGUUUAAUCUCUCUCAAUAUUGAUUCACAUUUUGCAGAUAAUAAUACAAAUAAAACAAAUAGUGUUUUAGGUAAUAUAUUUUAAAAUCAGUUUUAUCAGUACUUUGACAUCAAGCAUAAUUAAUUGGCUCGAUAUAUUACCUUUGAACUUGUUUUUGGCAUUUUAUCGACUGACCCUUUGCUAAGAAUUUUGUCCUAAAACUGAAGACUUUUUAUUAAAGAGAAGAGUUCUUCAGACUUUUCAGGGGUAGAGGCACACCUCAGAGGUGUUGUGGGUUCAGUUCCAGACUGUCACAAUACAGUGAGUAUCACAAUACAGCGAGUCACACAAGUUUCUUGUUUCCCAGUGCAUAUCAAAGUCAUGUUUACACUAUACUGUAGUCUAUUAAGUGUGCAAUAGCAUUAUGUCUAGAAAACAAUGUACAUACUUUAAUUAAAAAAUACUUUAUUCCUAAAAAAUGUUAACUAUCAUCUGAGCCUUCAUUGAGUUUUAACCUUUCUGCAAUAGUAACAUCAAAGAUCACUGAUCACAGAUCACCAUAGAAAUAUAAUAAUAAUGAAAAAGUGUGAAAUAUUUCGAGAAUUUCCAAAAUGUGACUCAGAGAUAGGAAGUGAGCAAAUGCUUCUGGAAAAAUGUUGCCAGUAUCGUCACAAUCCCUCAAUUUGUAAAAAAUGCAGUAUCUGUGAAGUGCAAUUAAGUGAAGCACAAUAAAAUGGUUUGCCUAUAUAUAAAUUCCCUAAGUUGUAUGUAAAAUGCUGUGUGUAUUUCCUUUUUCUGGGGAGAAGUCUGUA